GACGACCCGUGCGAACGUUGUUCGGAAUCACUGGGCUUAAAGGGCGCGUAGGCGGGUGAUCAAGUCCGGGGUGAAAUCCUCCAGCUCAACUGGAGAAUAGCCUUGGAUACUGGUCGUCUUGAGGGAGGUAGGGGCAUGUGGAACUUCCGGUGGAGCGGUGAAAUGCGUAGAUAUCGGAAGGAACGCCGGUGGCGAAAGCGACGUGCUGGACCUCUUCUGACGCUGAGGCGCGAAAGCCAGGGGAGCAAACGGG
RNAcentral lists this ribosomal RNA (253 nucleotides) under uncultured prokaryote. RNAcentral's name for it is "partial 16S ribosomal RNA". It matches the Rfam family "Bacterial small subunit ribosomal RNA", at positions 524 to 776 of the family's 1533-position model. The record is from RNAcentral.